CGAGGUGGAGCAAAUCCCAAAAAUAACGUCUCAGUUCGGAUUGUAGUCUGCAACUCGACUACAUGAAGCUGGAAUCGCUAGUAAUCGCGAAUCAGAAUGUCGCGGUGAAUACGUUCCCGGGUCUUGUACACACCGCCCGUCACACCAUGGGAGUCAGCAACGCCCGAAGCCGGUGACCCAACCGAAAGGAGGGAGCCGUCGAAGGUGGGGCCGAUAACUGGGGUGAAGUCGUAACAAGGUAUC
This 243-nucleotide ribosomal RNA is filed under the name uncultured bacterium. Its description in RNAcentral is "partial 16S ribosomal RNA". It matches the Rfam family "Bacterial small subunit ribosomal RNA", at positions 1258 to 1500 of the family's 1533-position model. The record is from RNAcentral.